RNAcentral lists this unclassified non-coding RNA (257 nucleotides) under Glomeromycetes sp. RNAcentral's name for it is "partial contains 5.8S ribosomal RNA and internal transcribed spacer 2". The stretch from base 1 to 71 matches the Rfam family "5.8S ribosomal RNA", at positions 84 to 154 of the family's 154-position model. The record is from RNAcentral. Lineage: Eukaryota; Fungi; Glomeromycota; Glomeromycetes.
GUGAAUCAUCAAAUCUUUGAACGCAACUUGCACUCUCUGGCAUUCCGGAGAGUAUGCCUGUUUGAGGGUCAUUUUAUAUACAAAUCGAGGUGUUGCUGUUUGGUGACCCAUCGGAAUUGGUUUAUCUUUGAGCUUUUAAAAAGCGUAAGUUACCUAAAAUUGAUACCUUGUGCAUCUCUGACGUACAUUAGAAUAUUUUUUUAUCCGUCCGGAGUUUCCAACUGUUUAUUAGGUAUGACCAGGCUUUUUGUGCCAUC